GUGGGGAAUCUUCCGCAAUGGACGAAAGUCUGACGGAGCAACGCCGCGUGAGUGAAGAAGGUUUUCGGAUUGUAAAGCUCUGUUAAUCGGGACGAAAGAGCCUAGUGUGAAUAAUGCUAGGAAGUGACGGUACCGGAAUAGAAAGCCACGGCUAACUACGUGCCAGCAGCCGCGGUAAUACGUAGGUGGCAAGCGUUGUCCGGAAUUAUUGGGCGUAAAGCGCGCGCAGGCGGAUCUGCCAGUCUGUCUUAAAAGUUCGGGGCUUAACCCCGUGAUGGGAUGGAAACUACAGAUCUAGAGUAUCGGAGAGGAAAGUGGAAUUCCUAGUGUAGCGGUGAAAUGCGUAGAUAUUAGGAAGAACACCAGUGGCGAAGGCGACUUUCUGGACGAAAACUGACGCUGAGGCGCGAAAGCCAGGGGAGCGAACGGGAUUAGAUACCCGAGUAGUCC
Molecule: ribosomal RNA, 450 nt
Filed under: uncultured bacterium
Lineage: Bacteria
Description: partial 16S ribosomal RNA
Rfam family: Bacterial small subunit ribosomal RNA
Source: RNAcentral